RNAcentral lists this long non-coding RNA (214 nucleotides) under Solanum tuberosum (potato). RNAcentral describes it as "long non-coding RNA (STUB_LNC006378)". Lineage: Eukaryota; Viridiplantae; Streptophyta; Magnoliopsida; Solanales; Solanaceae. The record is from RNAcentral.
UGAGUCCUCAUUCUUCGAGGACCAGUGACAUGUUUAUCUUUUCAGUAUUUUUAGUCCUUUAGUUUCAAUUUUGGUAGACUUAGCUUGGGCAUGGCCCAGCCUUUCUAGUCAGUUAGAGGCUAUUUUCAGACAUAGUUAGAUUCAGCUUAGUAUUGAGUUAAUAUUUUCUUUGUAUUAAACUCAUCAGUUUUCAUUCAUCUCAGUUAUAGUAUAU